This 343-nucleotide unclassified non-coding RNA is filed under the name soil metagenome. Its description in RNAcentral is "partial contains 5.8S ribosomal RNA, internal transcribed spacer 2, and large subunit ribosomal RNA". The stretch from base 1 to 120 matches the Rfam family "5.8S ribosomal RNA", at positions 35 to 154 of the family's 154-position model. The record is from RNAcentral.
GAUGAAGAACGCAGCGAAACGCGAUAAGUAAUGUGAAUUGCAGAAUCCAGUGAAUCAUCGAAUCUUUGAACGCACAUUGCGCCCGCCAGCAUUCUGGCGGGCAUGCCUGUUCGAGCGUCAUUUCAACCCUCGACCUCCCCUUGGGGAGGUCGGCGUUGGGGACCGGCAGCACACCGCCGGCCCUGAAAUGGAGUGGCGGCCCGUCCGCGGCGACCUCUGCGUAGUAAUCCAACUCGCACCGGAACCCCGACGCGGCCACGCCGUAAAACACCCAACUUCUGAACGUUGACCUCGAAUCAGGUAGGACUACCCGCUGAACUUAAGCAUAUCAAUAAGCGGAGGA